Molecule: long non-coding RNA, 1805 nt
Organism: Helianthus annuus (common sunflower)
Lineage: Eukaryota; Viridiplantae; Streptophyta; Magnoliopsida; Asterales; Asteraceae
Exons: 6
Source: RefSeq, a predicted model, not a curated record
AUGUACAAUUAGUCUCUAUCUGGUUCUAAAGAAGAAUUCAGCAAUACAACAAAGAAAACAUCGGUUGAGCUUUCACUGAUUUGGGUGAGAUUGCCCAAAAUGUACUAUUAGUCUUUCUCUGGUUCUAAAGAAGAGUUCAACCAUACACCAAAGUAAACAUCGCGCUUUGAGAAUUCAAAUUUUGAAUUUCACCUGUCCAUUUCCCCAAAUGUUUUGCUUUUGAAUUCCAUCGAGCAAAGCAAUCCAUUGACUUUCUCAUACCUCACUCUUCACAGUUCACGCCAACUCAACUCAUCUGGUUUUCUCUCUACACACAAACUCAUCUGGUUCUCUCUAUUAGAGGAUGAUUAGAAGCAUGAAGCUUCAAAUCUGAUAUUAGAUCGAUCAAGCAAAUUAUCCGAGGCACUCACGGAGGUGUAGACUUCACGGUCUUAGAGGUGAGUUCUCGGCACUCACCGGAGGUGUAGAUUUCACAUUCACAUAGGUAAGGGGUUAGAUUCUGAAACUGGAAGUACUGUUGGUGGAGGAAACAUGGUUGGAAGUUUUUUCUUUAUAUAGUUAUACCCCAUAUGGCCAGCUAAAAGCUAUCAUCAUUGGUCAGGAAGGGGUGACUCCAGUUCAGAUGUGAGUUCAGAGCAUAGUGAGAAUGCCGCUGAAGAUAUUUUGAUAUUCUUUUACCAGUUGGAUUUGGCAACGCCAGUACAGGUUUUUACAUGCUUUUUUCAUUGUAUAUGGGGCAGGAUUUGGUUUGAAACUUGUCGAAUCUUGUGGUGGAGGUGUAAGGUGUUAAAGGAGUUGUAGGGCUUUCUUGAUGUCCUAAGGGCGGCGAUUAGCGGUGGUUUUAAGCUCGAGUAACAGCAGCGACCAAAAAUGCUUAGAUCGGCCGCUACAUGUGAUUAAGGUUCAGGUGGCGGCGUUGGAAAGUAUAUGCCGUAUACUAAGGCAAUGGAGAUAAAACCGUUUUCUGGCUAAGACCUUGACCGAUAGGCACAACAUGGGUCAUUACCAACCAGAUCUGCGAUGGUGUCGGGUGUGUGUGCUUAUUUACGGCUAGCUCACGUAAGAUUCAGCUAUUUUAUAUGUCAUUCCAACGAGAUUAUUUGUGAAAACUGUUGAUUUGUCUCUACUUGUAUGAUUUUUGGCAAGUUUGGAGGCAGAGUUGAUAGUUGAAAGUUGUUACCAAAUUGUGUUAUCAGCUGCAAUAUUACUGAAUGCUUUUCAGUGGUGAGUAGUGGCGGUUUAGGGUUCUUACAGGAGUAAAUUAGUGGCUUUAGAUUAGGAAGACUGAGGCUUGGUUGUGGUUACGGAGCUCUAACGAUUCAAGAUGAAGCUGCAAUGGCUUUGGCAGCUGCAGCAAACAUCAGAUCGAAACUGCAGGUUCACGGCUUACUCAAUCAUGAUUAGUUUGGAGGGUUGCAUUUACCAUAAAUCAGUAUUGGAGUGAAUUAUACGGGAUAACAAAAUGAUGGCUGUCCAUCUACCCGAGGAAACAGAUGGGAAAAAAUCAGGCACGACACCUCCCAGCUACGGUUCUAGCGUCGCGGUUCUAGCUACUAGACAGCUUUCUGCAUUGCAUUGUAGCUUCUUUUGUGGCUCAAAAGUAUCUAAAAACUGCACAUAUUUUGUUUGUGUUAUAAUGCACUUAUCCUGUCCACUAAUGAAAUUUAGAAGUUUGUCUGAAUUAGAACUUCACUUAUUUGAAAUAGUGUGGAAGUUUAUCUGAAUUAGAACUUCACUUAUUUGAAAUAGAGGAACUGAGAUGGUGUAUACUCUAAUACAAUAUAAAUGUGUAUUUUGAUUUUUGA